This 407-nucleotide ribosomal RNA is filed under the name uncultured bacterium. RNAcentral describes it as "partial 16S ribosomal RNA". It matches the Rfam family "Bacterial small subunit ribosomal RNA", at positions 30 to 526 of the family's 1533-position model. The record is from RNAcentral.
AUUGAACGCUGGCGGCAGGCCUAACACAUGCAAGUCGAGCGGAGCGGCGGACGGGUGAGUAAUGCCUAGGAAUCUGCCUGGUCGUGGGGGAUACCGACAGGAACCGGACGCUACUCCCGCAUACUAUCAGAUGAGCCUAGGUCGGAUUAGCUAGUUGGUGGGGUAAAGGCCUACCAAGGCGACGAUCCGUAACUGGUCUGAGAGGAUGAUCAGUCACACUGGAACUGAGACACGGUCCAGACUCCUACGGGAGGCAGCAGUGGGGAAUAUUGGACAAUGGGCGAAAGCCUGAUCCAGCCAUGCCGCGUGUGUGAAGAAGGUCUUCGGAUUGUAAAGCACUGUAAGUUGGGAGGCGUUACCAACAGAAGAAGCACCGGCUAACUCCGUGCCAGCAGCCGCGGUAAUUC